GAUUAUGGCUCAGGAUGAACGCUAGCGGCAGGCUUAACACAUGCAAGUCGAGGGGCAGCGGGAUGUAGCAAUACAUUGCCGGCGACCGGCGGAUGGGUGCGUAACGCGUAUGCAACCUACCUUAUACAGGGGAAUAACCUUUCGAAAGGGAGACUAACACCCCAUAGUAUUGAUUUAAGGCAUCUUAGAUUAAUUAAAUAUUUAUAGGUAUAAGAUGGGCAUGCGUAUGAUUAGCUAGUUGGUAAGGUAACGGCUUACCAAGGCGACGAUCAUUAGGGGUUCUGAGAGGAAGGUCCCCCACACUGGUACUGAGACACGGACCAGACUCCUACGGGAGGCAGCAGUGAGGAAUAUUGGUCAAUGGGCGCAAGCCUGAACCAGCCAUGCCGCGUGCAGGAAAGACGGCCUUAUGGGUUGUAAACUGCUUUUACAUAAGACUAACCGUAUAUUUGCGAAUAUACCUGAAUGUAUUAUGAGAAUAAGGAUCGGCUAACUCCGUGCCAGCCGCAGC
Molecule: ribosomal RNA, 511 nt
Filed under: uncultured bacterium
Lineage: Bacteria
Description: bacterial SSU rRNA
Rfam family: Bacterial small subunit ribosomal RNA
Source: RNAcentral